UUUUGGCACACGGAGGCCGCCCGCCAAGUCUGGGGCCAUUCCGAGUCCCGCGGACGAACUUCGCCCACGCCCCCCACCAAGGCUAUAGCCCACCCGUUUUUUGGCCAUUUUUCCGCUGGGGGGUCUUGGGACCCCGACCUUCGGGGGCUGAUUUUUGGGCGCGGCUGUGCCCGUGGCCUAUUUUUGGCACACGGAGGCCGCCCGCCAAGUAUGGUGCCAUUCCGAGUCCCGCGGACGAACUUCGCCCACGCCCCCCACCAAGGCUAUAGCCCACGCGUUUCUUGGCCUUUUUUCCGCUGGGGGGUCUUGUGACCCCGACCUUCGGGGGCUGAUUUUUGGGCGCGGCUGUGCCCGUGGCCUAUUUUUGGCACACGGAGGCCGCCCGCCAAGUCUGGGGCCAUUCCGAGUCC
Molecule: long non-coding RNA, 410 nt
Filed under: Citrus x clementina
Lineage: Eukaryota; Viridiplantae; Streptophyta; Magnoliopsida; Sapindales; Rutaceae
Description: Citrus clementina (C. clementina) long non-coding RNA (CCLE_LNC001653)
Source: RNAcentral